GCCCUAAAGUAUUAUUUAUAUUUGGGAAUGAAACCGCCAUCACAUUUUGAUUUUCAAAUGGCAACCUGUAGGCAUUGAAAAUUCCACGAACAUAUGAAGUUUUGGUUUAAAAUGUUUAAAUACCAUUUCUCGGUGAUGAUAUUUGUAAUUUUUAUCAAAACAGUUGACGGCGACAAUGUAGUCCGCUACACUCUGCUCACCCCGCUGUCUACCCAUGAAAUAACAAACUUAAAUGUGGAAUAUCUCGCCAAAGUGUAUCAAAAUAACAUGAUAGUGAUUUCACUCCCAGACAUAACAGUAAUGUAACACACUACAAAAGUAGCUUGUUUCUUAAGUUGUCCGAAAAGGAAAAUUCCAAAACAAACACUUUGGGAUUUAACGGGUGGGUAACGUUUUACUUGACCACUAUGUAUUCUGUAUAAUAUUGAUCGAAUUCAUGUAUUCUAGAAAUCAUACAAUUUCAUUGCGAGCGGUUAUAUUAUAAUAUAUAUAUAAAACUGUGUAUAGAUACUAAUGCAGUGUUGCACGUUAUAUCGAACCGGCUACAUAAAUAUUAUAUUCGUCGGUUAGGUACAAUAACAAUAUACUGAAUACAUAGUGAAUGUUUUAUUUACGCGCGAACUUUGACGUUGUUAUUUUCAACGGGCGAACAAGAAUAACAAUACUAAACCUAACAAUAAUAUAUUACCUAAAAAUACAAACAAUUACCGAUCAUUACGAUUGAUUAACUCGGAAAAUGGACGAUUUGUUCGGAUUACAUAAGAACGUGAGCAAUUUGAAGACGAACAUAAAUAUCAAAAACAUAAAGUCUGAUACUGUUGCAAAUUUUUUUUGAAGGGAAGUCGGAAAGAAGGAUAUAAUGAAGAGUGAUUUAAUUUAUAUCUGCACCCAACGAUACAUUAUCGCUAACGUAAAAACGAUUCAGAGUGGAGUAUUAUUAGUCGAAUUUUUUCCAUUGUUGCCAAGGAAAUCCAGUAAUCAACAAAUACUUUGUAACGAAUCAUCAGUUUUUAAAUUUAAUAAGAAAACUACACGGAAAGUAAAAAAUAACCUCCUCUAUGCAUCAAGUAGAAAUCAAAAAAUACUAUAAAAAAAUUCCUAUACAAUUUUCGAUCGGUGAUAUAUUUCUGGAAAAAAAGUUGUUUACAAUCAUGCGCAAAAAACCAUCUAGUCAAACCAACGCACUCCUCGAUUCGCUCAGAAUAUAAUAAUACUAGAAAUUUGUAUCGACAAUUAUACAUUCACAAUACGACAAGCUAUGGACUACGGCGAUAAUUUUCGGAAAUACAAACAGGCGCAAUAGUAGUCGCAGUAUUGCAGUAGUGCCUCAGUGCGCACUUUUUUGCAACUCGAAAACGCUACAAGUCAAUAAUUUCGUACACUAUAAUCUAUAAUAAUAUAGGUAGAUUUAAUUUUUAUUUAUAAACGGCCGUGGAAAUAAAUGCAAUUUAUGUAGAUAAUGAUUUGCGAAAUUUGAAAAACAAACAUCACGUGCACUCCAAUAAUCAACUGCGACAUUACGAUGCCGAUACGGUCCGAUAUAAUUUUAAGACAGUCGUAAAAAUCGUUGAAGUUAGUUCGUACAAUUUAGAUAAAGUAUGAAAAUUUCGCCUAAUUAAUACGUAUAGGCAUGUCAACAUAUUCUCGAUUUCGGUUAAAAUUCUCGAUUUCCAAAUCGAAAGUAUCGUUAUUAUUUUAUUAUUUUUGUAUUUUUUAAAUUUAGAACUUUCAAAUUAUUAGAUUAGAUAUAGGCGAUUUGUCGCGUUGCGUCAUCUGUCUUGAUUAGACUCGUAAAUCUGACAAAAACGUUUGCCAAGGCGCGGUUAUUUUAUAGAACUAAUUUCAAUGUUUAAACAAAACCGCGAUCGCGGAAACGAUUGAGCGGAUAUUGUGGACUUGACAUUCGGGACAUUUGAAAAUCAAAAGUCCGGUAACAAGCGCAAUGAACUGAGGGUUCACCGCCAUAGACAUUUUACGGUUCAAAAGAAAUGGACACUUUCCCGCGGGUAUAAUGAGUGUCACGCGAAAAAUUUGAUCACUCUCUGUACACGUAUAUAUUUGAAAAUUCGGAACCGGACGGACAAACGGUAUUAUUUAUAUUGAAAGAUCGAAUCCCCGUCACCGUGUUCCGGAUGUGAAACCGGACGGUCCGUCGUAGCAGUCGUCAUCGUUCCCGCGGACGGAAUUAAUGUGUUUUUUUAUUAUUUUUUUUUUCUGUUUUUCUUUUCUCGUAUUGCCGACGAAAAUGAUAACAAUAAUAAUAAUAAUAUAAUAGUCGCUAAUAGACCGCGAGACGAAUGAGCCGAGGCGUUUUUCGGACGCCGGUGUUUACUAUAAAAAAAAAAAAAAAACGCGACCGCCGCCGGUACGGAACGACACGAGAAAAAUAAUAAUAUCGCGUACGAUGUUUUCUCUUAUUUAGCACGCGCACGCCGGUAAACA
This is a non-coding RNA of Cinara cedri, 2442 nucleotides long. NCBI's taxonomy places the organism in Eukaryota, Metazoa, Arthropoda, Insecta, Hemiptera, Aphididae. The record is from the annotation of a GenBank genome assembly.